UACUCCUACGGGAGGCAGCAGUAGGGAAUCUUCCACAAUGGACGAAAGUCUGAUGGAGCAACGCCGCGUGAGUGAAGAAGGGUUUCGGCUCGUAAAACUCUGUUGUUGGAGAAGAACAGGGACUAGAGUAACUGUUAGUCCUUUGACGGUAUCCAACCAGAAAGCCACGGCUAACUACGUGCCAGCAGCCGCGGUAAU
Molecule: ribosomal RNA, 198 nt
Filed under: uncultured bacterium
Lineage: Bacteria
Description: partial 16S ribosomal RNA
Rfam family: Bacterial small subunit ribosomal RNA
Source: RNAcentral